This is a long non-coding RNA of Biomphalaria glabrata, 7411 nucleotides long. RefSeq lists it as uncharacterized. NCBI's taxonomy places the organism in Eukaryota, Metazoa, Mollusca, Gastropoda, Planorbidae. The transcript is spliced from 3 exons. The record is from RefSeq and is a predicted model, not a curated record.
UUUUGUUACUCUUAACAACUGACAUUUUUCUGGGUGGAAAGACAUGCUCCAAUUUGAUUCCCAUUUCUGUAAUUCAUCUAAUUCUCUUUGUAAAAUAUAUCUGUGUCUUGUGUUGUUUUUAUUGUUCUAUAUAUUAUGCAAUCGUCUGCAAAUAAUCUGACUUUUGUUCCUGAAGUAAUGCAAUUUGGUAAAUCAUUUAUGUAAAUUAAAAAUAGUAGUGGACCCAAGACUGUUCCUUGAGGUACACCUGAGUUUACUGUUAUCGGUGUUGAUUUAGAGCCAUUUAUUAUUAGGCUACAGUUUGUUCUCUCCAUAUCAGAAAGUCUUUAAUCCACUGAUGCAGUGGACCAUUAAUGCCGAAAUAUUUUAAUUUUUUAAGCAAACUAUGGUGGUGAACUUUGUCAAAAGCCUUAGAAAAAUCUAGUAGGAUAGCAUCUAUUUGUUCACUAUUAUCUAAACCUUUUGAAAAAUCAUCAAUUAGUCCUAUUAGUUGUGUUUCACAUGAUCUAUAUUUCCUAAAGCCAUGUUGGUAUGGUGUGAGGACAUUAUGUUAAUAUUAUAUGUUAAUAUAAUAAUAUAUUAACGCAUCGUUUUUGAGUUAUAAGAUAAAGGAACACAGAACUAGCAUUUUAUGUAACCUACCUUGAAGCUCCAGCUGUAACCAAGGCCUAUGUUUGAAAGAUAUUCUUCUCGUUUUCUUUGACUAUUUCUAGACUCAAAAUAUUAAGUGCAAGUUCUACUUGUCGCAGUUACUUUUUGUUUAGGAGUAUAUUUUUAAAAUGUAGGCCUACACAAUCAAAUAGCGCCGCUUUCUUCUAGAUCUAUAGGCGAAGACCUCAUUCGUGUAGUUUUUUUUUUUUCCCUUUUCGCGUUGUCGUUUUAGAUGUGAUGUCAUAUUUCUUCUUUACGCCAAAUAUAGACAAGCUGUACUUUUAGUGGUCCUAAAUUUUUCCUUUGCUUUACUCAGUACUGGACAGCCUUAGCGAUUGCCUUGGAUGUCUAUUCUUGGUAGGACUCUUUGACCCCUGUUUAGGGGUUUCAGUGUUGGCGUUAUCUAUUUCAUCGUUGAGUCGAUACCGUGGGUGCUGGUAGGUCUUUUACCCUGGACAUUGAGGUCGGCAUCUUUGUGACACUUUGUCACUCUUGUGGUCAGAAGUUAAUGUCAGUGCUUGAAUGCUACUAAGAAUAUGAUGUUAAUAGAUCUACUCUAGACAUUUUAUAAAGUAGUACUAGAUGUCUAGUAGUCAGUAACUGUUUCUGAGACGAAUAUAUCAUUAUUUGGCGUAGGUUAUGAAACUGUGAUGUUGUUGAACUUGAACUUCACUAGUCAAUGUAAAUGUUGUCAAGUGUUUCUACAAAUUAAACGCUUUAUCACUAUUAGAUCUAGUGACUAUUAAAUAAGGUACCGGUAAGUUAAAAGAAGAAUUUGAUUUAGAUUUUAGAUCUACUAUAACUAUAGAGAAAGAUCUAGUCUAGAAUCUAGGACUAGAUCUAUAUAGAUCUAUGUGCAUAACUUUUUGAUUAGCUAAAACCGAGGUAAAAGAUAUGUCAUUAUUAUUUAUAAUCAUAUGGACCCAGAGUCUAGUCUGGAAUCUACUAGCCUAGAUCUAGAGUUAGAGAGUCUAGAUUCUAGAUCCUGAAUCUAGACCUCUACAAUUAGAGUAGUUUAUGCGGUAAUCAUGAAUGUAAGCGGUAUAAAUGUGAGCGUCAAAAAUUAAGGAAGUUUGUAGGCUAACAAUUCCUCUGUUGUAAUUUAGCAGGAGGCUUGCGACGUAGGCUUAUAUGUUUUCUGUUGUUAUUUACCAUGAGGUUUGCGGCGUAGGCUAAUAAGUUUUCUGUUGUGGUUUAGCAGGAGGUUUGCGACAUAGGCUAACCAAUCCUCUGUUGUAAUUUAGCAGGAAGUUUGCGUGAUAGCCAAAUAAGUUUUCUGAUGUUAUUUAGCAUGUGGUAGAAAGGAUUCUGGAAAACAAAUAGAUGUCUAACUCUAAACUAUUGGAUUUCUGCCAGAAUUCAAGCCUUUUUUCUCCUAGACUAUAUCUAGAUGAAACAUCAUUGGCAACUACAUACUAAAUAUAUAGUAGUCAAAUAAUUUUGUUCGAUCUAAAUCUAUAUAUAUGUUUUAGUCUAGGACUAGUAUCUAGGAGUCUUUCUCAUAUAUCAUAUGUUAACAUCUACAGGCCAAACUUUUUAAAAUGAAAAAUAUAUAAUCUAAUUUUGAUUUUUUAAAAAUAUUGCUUCAAAUGAUAUCUGGUACUGAAACGCAUUCAUUUUUCUGUUAAUUUUGAAUCUCUUGUCAUCAGUAGAAGAGAACAAAUCAUUAGAGCAAAUCAUAGGCAUUUUUUAUUUUAUUUUGAUACAACAAUUAUGGUGGCUUAUUCCUAAACAGGCAACAUGAUAGGCCCUACCAUUACUUUUAUUUUUUAGUCAAUGGUCAUCAAACAGCUCAUGUAGCUAUUGGCCACAAAACAGCUCAAUCCAACUAUCUGAUAGAAAAGUUGUGUAUCUAAUGUUUGAGUGGAAUUGGUAUGAACGUCCAUUUCAGUUUGCUAAAGCUCUAAUGUUAUAAUGUAAUGCACACAUUUUAAGAUAAAUUUCAUCAUUUAUAUAAACAUUAUUAUUUUAUUAUUAUUAUUGACAUGAAGUUAAUAUUUUAUUGACAUAAUGUUAUUAUUCGGAAUUUUAAUAUUCAGUAGUAUAAUAUAGUAUACCAAUUAUAUUUAAAAAAAUAAAAAAACAAUAUUAAUUACUGCUAUAUUAGGAAGGUGCCGCUGCCAAGAAACGUAAAUUAUUCAACUUCAAACAAGAAUCUAAAGAAGGAAACAAUGACGCUGGUCCAGCUAAAGUCCCUCGCCUUACUUUGGUUUUACAUGAGCGGGAUUCGACUUUCAAAAAUUGCCAGUCUUCAGUGACUCAUCAGCCUUCAACUUCAAUAAAUUGCCAGUCUCCAGUAAAUCACCAGCCUUCAACUUCAAUAAGUUGCCAGUCUCCAGUGAAUCACCAGCCUUCUACAAAAUCCAAAUGGUGACUACAAAAGACCACAAUAUGGUCAGCUCUACUUUCUGUAUCCCGACGAUGCUGUGAAUGAAAGAAUUCAACAUCCAUACAAUACUGACAUCAACCAAGACUUAGUGAAUAGAUUGGAGAAAAUCAUAUGCGCCGUCAAUUGUUUCACUCAGGCAACUUGCAUCAGCAAAAGGAAUUGCACCUCCACAUGUUCGACUUUUGUUUACUAAUCCUGAUGGUUUUGAUCUCAGGCGCUACAACGCCCCCUCAUCUAAUGAAGUAUGUGCUGUGCUGACACUGAAUGCUGAUCAAAACAUUCCAGCUAAUGAAAUGGUUGUACCUCAGCGAGGCAAAGAAAUAGUUACUUUAAAGAACACAAGACAAACGAACAGAGCCCUUCACAUAUCCAUUAUUUUAUCCUAAAGGCACCUUUGGAUAUUCUGUGGUUCUGAAGCUACAACAGCCUUAUCCCAAUCGGCAGCAUCUAACAAGACUGGAAAUGGCUUAUAGCAAAGGACUCACCAAAAAUCUUCCACUUGAAAAAGAUCACAGCGAUCUUGAUCUACGUGAAACACAAUUCAACGCACUACAUUUUGGUGGCCGACUGUUUCAGCAGUAUCUGGUUGACACAUUUAUUAGAGUGGAAUGCGAUCCAGUAGAUCAAGUCCAACCAAAAAAAAAAUUCUGGCUGAAAAAUACAUUGGAGUGUCUAACUUCCUUAAAGAACUUGCUGAAAAGAAAGAUGCUGUUGUUGGUGAAACCAUCAUUUUACCAUCCUCGUUCCCAGGCUCAACACGAUACUAUGCUGAACAAUUUGAAGACGCCAUGGCUUUAGUUCGACGCUUCGGUUCACCAGACUUCUUUAUAACGAUGACAUGUAAUCCGGAAUAGACUGAAAUAAAAAAAGCUGCCUGCAUUGUUACUGAGGAAAGGUUUGUUAUUCAGCAUAGAGCUCAAGAUUGUCCUGAUCUCAUUGCUAGAGUAGCGAAGCUGAAGUUUGAAACCAUCAUUGAGGAAUUAUAGAAGAAACAAAUAUGUAGGAAAGUAGCAGUCUUUGUUUAUACAAUUGAGUUUCAAAAACAUGUUCUCCCUCACAUCCAUCUUUUAUUAAUUAAGACAAAAUACACAAUCAUGAUGAGCUAAACGAUUUAAUUUCUGCCAAGAUCCCAGACAACACAGAUCCUGAGUUGCGAGAACUGGUUUUGAAAUGGAUGCUCCAUAACCCUUGCAGUGAACAUGACUUAAAUGCAUCGUGCAUGAAAAACAACAAUGGAAAAGUUCAAUGCCGUUUCGAUUUCCUCAAACCUUUCCAAGAAACAACAUCACUGGUUGACGAUGAAAAACCAAAAUUAAGACAUUGGUAUGAUUCCAUAAUGGACCAGCAGAGCCCUGAAUUUGGACAUGAACCAGCUGUCUACCGAAAAGACAAGUCUGGUAAAAGAAUAACCAGACACAACCGCCACGUGGCUCCUUACAAUGCAUACUUGGUGAAACUAUUCAAUUGCCACAUAAAUGUUGAAUUUGUUGGAAGCAUUAGAGCUGUGAAAUAUUUAUAUCUUCUUCUUCUUCUAGCCAGCUUUAUUGCUGCUGAGCUGUGAGCUCUUUUGCAGGCUGUGCCAAGGAAAAAAAGUGUACUGUUUUAUAUAUUUAUAUAAAUACAUUUACAAAGGACAUAACUGCACCUAUAUUACAAUUGUGGAGGAUUGUUUGGCAGAUAAAAGUAAUGAAAAAAUGAAAGAGGGCAAUUCUGGCUCCCUUAAACAAAGAUGUUAAUGUGAUAAAUUAUGAAAUUAUAGACAAAUUACCUGGAGAGGAAAAAGUCUAUUUUAGCUUUGAUUCAAUCAAGGACAUGUCAGAAGGUUACCUUCAAUUUACCACAUAAUUUUAAAACUCUAUUGCCAUCGCUGAUUUGCCUCCACUCAAACUAAAACUAAAAAAAAACACAAUUAUCAUGUUGCUAAGGAACUUGGAUGUUUCAGAAGGACUCUGCAAUGGGACGAGGCUUAUUGUCACUGAACUUUGCAACAACAUAAUUAUUGCCAAGGUUCUAACUGGCGAACAUUUUAGAAAAGGAAGUUCACAUCCAGAGAAUCACUCUAGAUUCCAAUAAGGGGAAACUUGGGUGCACAAUGCAGCGCCAUCAAUUUCCCGUGACCCCUGCUUUCGUCAUGACAGUACACAAAUCCCAAGGUCAAACAUUCCAGUUUGUUGGAGGUGAUCUCAGGGUCCCAGUCUUCAUGCAUGGCAUGCUGUAUGUGGCCUUUUCAAGAGUGAAACUUCAAAUUUGUUUGAAAGUCCUUCUUCCCCGAGACAACGCAACUUACACCCGGAACAUUGUGUGGAAGGAAGUGUUGAACUAAGAUAAAGAAGCCUGUUUGUACCAGAGAGUUGAUGUACUGGAUAGCAAGUGGUAGUGGGAAGCAGAGAUUUGAAGUCAUCAUUAGAAAUUGUUAUGACUAGCACUGUGGCUUUUUAACAAUAUUAGACUAUCUCUAUGAGCAGCGUUCAACUGACUCAGGGAAGAUUUGAUAAUGUACCUAAGGCGUGUUUCACUGCAAGAUCUACAGACCUGUUUGUUUUUGUUUUAUCUCUUUGGAUAUUAUUUACCUUUAUUAUAAAAAUUACAAUGUUUUCAAAUAAUCCGCUCUAGCCCUACAAUUUUUAUCUAGAAGUAGAGUUCUUUUGGUGCUUGUAUCUGUUUACCAGAUAACUGUUUUAUUAUUAGAUAAAAAGAAAAAUAUGUAUUACAUUUCUGCAAUAUUGAUGCAUAGCAACAAAUGGCGAUCAUAAUAGAUCAAAAGUGGCCUAAUAAUAGAGUCAUUUUGUGAAAUGGCUCAAAAUGUAUUUUGUUCAUGAAUCGAUUUUUUUUGUACCAACAUUCUAUAUUGUUUAUCAAUUUAUUUUUGUUCUCUGUGAAACUCUUGGGUAUUGUAAUUUUUGUUUAAUACUGUUGUUAAGUAUCCAAUUUUGUUUCUUAUACCAUUACAUUUAAGUAACAGAGUAUUAUGUAUGGUCAUUAAAUUUAGGUAACCAAGUAUUAUGUAUGGUCAUUACAUUUAAGUAUCCAAGUAGUAUGUAUGGUCAUUACAUUUAGGUAACCAAGUAUUAUGUAUGGUCAUUACAUUUAAGUAUUCAAGUAGUAUGUAUGGUCAUUACAUUUAAGUAUUCAAGUAGUAUGUAUGGUCAUUACAUUUAGGUAACCAAGUAGUAUGUAUGGUCAUUACAUUUAGGUAACCAAGUAGUAUGUAUGGUCAUUACAUUGAGGGGUAAUCAAGAAUUAGCUAUGGUCAUUACAUUGAAGUAACCAAGUAUUAUGUAUUGUCAUUACAUAUAGGUAAAAUGUUUUAUAUAUAUAUGACUAUUACAUGUAUUGCUCAUUAUCUGUUAUUUUUAAUAAUGCGAUGCAUCUCUUUCUGCCAAUAGUUUUCUAUUGGCUUCUUAGCCAUGAAAAUUGUUGUUUAUGAUUUUCAUUUAAAAGGCCUUGACAUGCAUUGACUUAUUUGUAUAAAGUAAUAGGAAUGGAUCAAAAAAACCAUCCAGUAGAUUGCUAGCCGAAGUAAAACAAAGAAAAGCCUUUAAAACAAAAAAAAAAAAAAACCUUCUUUAGCUGAGUAAGUUUAGUUCAUUUUCUAGGCUUAUAUUCACUAUUACUAUUAGGCUAGAUUCUAAACAUUGUGUAAAGUAGUUCUAUUUGGGUAAAUAUCAUUAGGACUUUCACAGGAAAGCUUUUAAUGUCAUUGUACUUUAUAAAUUGAUGACUAUAUAGUUAACACUAUGUCUUGUUAGUGUGUCAGUUUCACAAUGAGAUGAGUUGAAUGUGAGUAAGCAAGUUUCUAUCCAAGUUUAUGUCCUGAAGUGAAAGUAAAAUGGUAGAAAUAAAAGUAUUCUAUUAAUAGUUAUGUUCAACAUAUUCACCGUUGUCCAAUGAAUUAAAGUCACUUAAGCUUAUACAGUACAAUUGCUCUGUUGUUUUUUUUGGUCAUUAUAAUUUAAUAUUAUUCAACAAAUAAUGAUGACCAAAAAGCUUCUUUUGAAUUGAAGUUAGAAAUAUUUCAUUUUACUUUUUAUUGCCAUCAAAAUGUAAUUCCUAAUUUAAAAGAAAAACAUCUUGUAUAACCUUUAAAUCUGUAGCAUCUGCUAAUCUUGCAAUUAUCAAUGCAUGGUCCUGCUCUUCGAUUAUGCACUAAACAUUGUACAUGGAGUAAUUGUUGUCAUUUCCUGUAGCUUUAUACCCAUAAUGCAGUGCAGACACUUCAAAAUCAAAUGUGCCCUUUAUAACACCCAGGUCUCAAAGUCGAAAUUCUGUGAGACCUAAACUAUCUGGUAGAUUUGAAAUUCUGACGUGAGACGAAUCUUAUAUUUACCUAGCGUUUCAUAAAAAAAAUAUUGUCUUUAAAAACCCAAAAUG